GGCGGUGUUAGCUCACUUCUUAAAAGCUUUAUAUUUUAGAAGGUGGAAGACCUGGAUGCUUCAUACUUUGUAUAUAUAUGCUUCAUGUUACGAAGUUUUCGUCAGUCACAUGUCCAAUGUCCUUGACCUCAUUUUCAUGGUUCAGUGACCACUUGAAAAAAAAGUUCAAAUUUUUUGUAAUGUUGAAUUCUCUCUUAUUAUAAGUAAUAGGAUAACUAUAUUUGAUAUGUGCGUACCUUGCAAGGUCCUCGUGUCUGUCAG
RNAcentral lists this long non-coding RNA (261 nucleotides) under Mytilus galloprovincialis (Mediterranean mussel). The record is from RNAcentral. Lineage: Eukaryota; Metazoa; Mollusca; Bivalvia; Mytilida; Mytilidae.